Molecule: long non-coding RNA, 497 nt
Organism: Erpetoichthys calabaricus (reedfish)
Lineage: Eukaryota; Metazoa; Chordata; Cladistia; Polypteriformes; Polypteridae
Exons: 2
Source: RefSeq, a predicted model, not a curated record
UUUGCCACUUGAUUGACAUGCAGGGCGGCCAGUCUGAGAUCUCUUUUCUUCUAACACACUGGUCAUCCCGCACGCACGAUCAAAUGCGCGAGCUACUGCAAAGCACCAGCUAUCUAAGUGAUCUAGUUAGCCUUCCAAUUUAUAUCGACUAAAGAAGGGAUUUUAAAAAAAAAAAUGUUGUUUUAGGGGGGUGGAGGGUAUGGGCUGGAUGUGGAAUUGGAAGAGGAUUUUUUUUCUCUCACAAUGUCACAAUCGAAGUGCGUUUGUCUGAUCUGUCAAUCUAUCAUUGCUAUUCCAAAGAAGAAAAAUGUGGAAAGGCACUUUCGAACUGUUCAUAAAAACUACGAAACUGACUUCCUUCCGAAAAGCAAUCUGAGAAAGAGAAAGGAGAGGGAACUAAAAACGCACUGGAGACGCAAUGGAAGGCGUGUGCGCAACUUGACAGCAUACAUUACACAGAGUAGACUGAAAAUUGUCUGUCAGACUUUGACAGAUGG